This 195-nucleotide ribosomal RNA is filed under the name uncultured bacterium. Its description in RNAcentral is "partial 16S ribosomal RNA". It matches the Rfam family "Bacterial small subunit ribosomal RNA", at positions 1294 to 1500 of the family's 1533-position model. The record is from RNAcentral.
CGGAUUGCAGGCUGCAACUCGCCUGCAUGAAGUUGGAGUUGCUAGUAAUCGCGGAUCAGAAUGCCGCGGUGAAUGCGUUCCCGGGUCUUGUACACACCGCCCGUCACACCAUGGAAGUUGGGGCGCCCGAAGUUGGUCAAGAAGAGAUUACCUAAGGCGAAACCAAUAACUGGGGUGAAGUCGUAACAAGGUACC